This 48-nucleotide non-coding RNA is filed under the name Hyphomonas neptunium. RNAcentral's name for it is "Guanidine-II sequence". It matches the Rfam family "Guanidine-II riboswitch aptamer (mini-ykkC)". Rfam says of the family: Simpler in structure and has fewer highly conserved nucleotide positions than the ykkC-yxkD leader. Despite this each of its two stem-loop structures directly bind free guanidine. Therefore, mini-ykkC RNA motif represents a distinct class of guanidine-sensing RNAs. RNAcentral also lists the same sequence under 1 other name. Lineage: Bacteria; Pseudomonadati; Pseudomonadota; Alphaproteobacteria; Hyphomonadales; Hyphomonadaceae. The record is from RNAcentral.
GCAGGAGGACGGCCUCCCCCAUAUCGGGAACGCUUCGGGACGGCCCGU